This 576-nucleotide ribosomal RNA is filed under the name Magnoliophyta environmental sample. RNAcentral's name for it is "eukaryotic LSU rRNA". The stretch from base 519 to 576 matches the Rfam family "Eukaryotic large subunit ribosomal RNA", at positions 1 to 59 of the family's 3401-position model. The record is from RNAcentral. Lineage: Eukaryota; Viridiplantae; Streptophyta; Magnoliopsida.
UCUGGGAAGGUUAAUCUGCAUGGCGACAUUACCGAGUGCAGGUCUGCCCCCGGGCCGGCCUAACCUCUGCCCGUCCGUACCUGACCCCUGUGCUUCGGCGGUGCGCCCCCCCCGGGGGGGGUCGCGGGAGACCACACCGAUCCCCUUGUUAUAACGUGUCGUCUGGGCUUGAUACACACAAACCUAAUUAAAUCUUUCAACAAUGGAACUCUUGGUUCCUGGUUCAAGGACGGACGGGCCCCACUCGAAUUCUCCAAGUGAUUAUUUUAUUGGUUGACCUCGGAUCAGGUAGGGAUACCUUGUGAACCCUGGAUAUCCAUGGGGGGAGGAAGUCCGAGCGUCAUUGCUGCCCUUCAAGCCCGGCUUGUGUGUUGGGUCGUCGUCCCCCCCGGGGGACGGGCCCGAAAGGCAGCGGCGGCACCGCGUCCUGGUCCUCGAGCGUAUGGGGCUUUGUCACCCGCUCGUUUAGGGCCGGCCGGGCGCCAGACGACGUCUCCAAACCUUUUAUUUUACCAGGUUGACCUCGGAUCAGUAGGGAUACCCGCUGAACUUAAGCAUAUCAAUAAGCGGAGGAAA